Molecule: unclassified non-coding RNA, 263 nt
Filed under: plant metagenome
Description: partial contains small subunit ribosomal RNA, internal transcribed spacer 1, and 5.8S ribosomal RNA
Rfam family: Eukaryotic small subunit ribosomal RNA (bases 1-54)
Source: RNAcentral
UGAAGUAAAAGUCGUAACAAGGUUUCCGUAGGUGAACCUGCGGAAGGAUCAUUAUUGAAUGAAACACUUCUGGCUUUAUGCUGUUGUGCUGGCCCUUUGGGCAAUGUGCACACGGCUCUGGUCACUUGUUUCUUCUGUUCCACCUGUGCACUGCCUGUAGACACGCUGUGUCUAUGAUAUUUGUUAACACACAACAAUGUUAGUUGGCAUGUUAUAUAUAAUAAUAAAAUAUACAACUUUCAACAACGGAUCUCUUGGCUCUC